RNAcentral lists this ribosomal RNA (600 nucleotides) under uncultured eukaryote. RNAcentral's name for it is "eukaryotic LSU rRNA". The stretch from base 213 to 362 matches the Rfam family "5.8S ribosomal RNA". The record is from RNAcentral.
UGAACCUGCGGAAGGAUCAUUCACACGUAUCCAUCUCAUCCACGUGAACUUUUUUGUGAGGUUUCUGGAGUGCUGUGAAAACGGCUUCCGGAUCCCUCGUGCGCGGCGAACGUUUCGGUUGAAAUAUAUCGUAGUUCGCCGCCAAUUCCAACCUUCAGUCCGUUGAAGAAAUCUUUCUGCGAGAGCAAUUUCGCAGUUUUACAAAAAAUCACAACUUCCAGCGAUGGAUGCCUCGGCUCGAGAAUCGAUGAAGGACGCAGCGAAAUGCGAUAAGCACUGUGAAUUGCAGAAUUCCGUGAAUCAAUAGAUUUUUGAACGCAUCCGGCGCUUCGGUUCUCCGAAGCAUAUCUGCUUCAGUGUCUAUUACGCACCGGCCACGGUUCCUUCUUGGAAUCUGGUGUUUGUGUGCGCUAGUGGUACCCAAGUACUGUUGGCGCAUCAAAAUUAUGAUCUCUCUUCGUCACUCAACAAUGUGCUCGCUCGCGUUGUGCUGUUGAUGUGGUGAUAUUGCGGAUCUGCUUCUGAGUGCUUAUGUACUCAAUCUAGACCUGAAGUCAGGUAAGGCUACCCGCUGAAUUUGAGCAUAUCAAUAAGCGGAGG